GCGGAGGAAAAGAAAAUAACAAUGAUUCCCCUAGUAACGGCGAGUGAAGAGGGAAAAGCUCAAAGUUGGAACCUGGUGGGCAUAGCUCACCCGGAUUGUAAACUAAAGUUUUUGAGUCGUUUAGUCAGCCAGGUAAAUAAGUCCUCUGGAAAGGGGCGACAUAGAGGGUGAAAUCCCCGUCUUUGGCCUGAGUUUUGAUUAGGCGUUUGGCUUGGAAACGAAGAGUCAGGUUGUUUGGGAAUGCAGCCUAAAAUGGGAGGUAAAUCUCUCCUAAAGCUAAAUAUUGACGAAAGACCGAUAGCGAACAAGUACCGUGAGGGAAAGAUGAAAAGCACUUUGAAAAGAGGGUCAAAAAGUACGUGAAAUUGCUGAAAGGGAACCGUAUGAAAUCAGACUUACUGGUAGGUAAUCAAUCUUUCCCUUGGGAAGGAUGCACUUGCCUGCUAUGUACGCCAGCGACAUUUUGGUUGUGGAGGAAAAAAAUAGUUGGAAUGUAGCCUGGGUUUCGGCUUAGGUGUUAUAGACUACUAUAAAAUACUCUCGGCUAGAAUGAGGAACGCAGCAAACCGUAAGGCGAAGAUUUUAGGCGCUUGGGGGGAAUCAUUAGAGAAUUUCUGCUUCGGGUGGUGCUUUAGUGAUUUCGUUCAACUCGUUUGAAUUUCUUUUUAUUUGCUUAGGUUGUUGGCUUAAUGAUUUUAUAUGAC
This 704-nucleotide ribosomal RNA is filed under the name Cunninghamella blakesleeana. RNAcentral's name for it is "eukaryotic LSU rRNA". It matches the Rfam family "Eukaryotic large subunit ribosomal RNA", at positions 50 to 648 of the family's 3401-position model. The record is from RNAcentral. Lineage: Eukaryota; Fungi; Mucoromycota; Mucoromycetes; Mucorales; Cunninghamellaceae.